RNAcentral lists this ribosomal RNA (497 nucleotides) under uncultured bacterium. Its description in RNAcentral is "partial 16S ribosomal RNA". It matches the Rfam family "Bacterial small subunit ribosomal RNA", at positions 28 to 507 of the family's 1533-position model. The record is from RNAcentral.
GAUGAACGCUGGCGGCGUGCCUAAUACAUGCAAGUCGAGCGAACAGACGAGGAGCUUGCUCCUUCGACGUUAGCGGCGGACGGGUGAGUAACACGUAGGUAACCUACCUAUAAGACUGGGAUAACUUCGGGAAACCGGAGCUAAUACCGGAUAAUAUUUCGAACCGCAUGGUUCGAUAGUGAAAGAUGGCUUUGCUGUCACUUAUAGAUGGAUCUGCGCCGUAUUAGCUAGUUGGUAAGGUAACGGCUUACCAAGGCAACGAUACGUAGCCGACCUGAGAGGGUGAUCGGCCACACUGGAACUGAGACACGGUCCAGACUCCUACGGGAGGCAGCAGUAGGGAAUCUUCCGCAAUGGGCGAAAGCCUGACGGAGCAACGCCGCGUGAGUGAUGAAGGUCUUCGGAUCGUAAAACUCUGUUAUUAGGGAAGAACAAAUGUGUAAGUAACUGUGCACGUCUUGACGGUACCUAAUCAGAAAGCCACGGCUAACUACGUG